GCCCCCCGGGGCUGUCGCGCCCUCCAAACUACCGCUUCUCUCCUUUUCUAGACGAGGUCCACCAAGUUUUUCUGUUUCGGUGCUGUUCCCCGUCCAUAAGCGAGCCCUGCUUAGGAAGGCGCUAAUUGCCGUAAGCAGGAAAAGUGAAGCUACAGGAUGUCAUUGCGAACAGGGAAUAUGCCCUAGAUAACAGCUCUUCGCAAGGCUGUCUUGCUUUCUCCUGUAGAGGGGAUGACACACUACUGCCUGAUUUUUGAUGUUUUGCCUGAAAAAGACGAAGUUAACCGGCUGUGAGCACUUUAAAGUAAAAUAAACUGAUACGAGGAGCAGAGUGCCAGAGAUGCCCAGCUGCAAGGCAUUCAACUGCAGAGAUGCGAAGUCCGAGUGUUUAUCCAAGCAGUAAAUAUAAUCUAACAUGAGUUUCCUGGGGGCAGAAGACAAGUUCAAGCAAGGAAAGCAAACAGCAUUCUCUGAAUAGCUGAAUUUCCUUCUGCACUUGGCCUGAAAAAAAACCUACAGACCAAAAACACAUGCAGUAAGAGUCAGAGAGAAUUUCCACAUAUACAAAUCAAGCACUGAAAAGUGUAGGACACUGAAAAUUAUUCCAGUGUACAAUAUCAUCGUCCGGGCUCUGGAAUAUGGCAGAGUACUGGUAGAACUCAGCACAGCGGCCUCAGCACAGCUUGUGCCCAUUUCAUAGCCUGUGGUAUAGAUGUUGAAAAGAAGGCUUGUUUUCCCAGAUAAGUCAUUACAAGUAGACCAAACAAAAGCAGAGUUGCCAUUUACUGAUAAUACUAAAAGGGCCACACUUCAGCAGCCUCCAGCAACUUGUUAGGCAUCAACACACAGAAGGUAAGUAUAAAAUAGGAGACUGGAUAGAUAACCCUUCCAGGUUAUUUUGCAGUGUAAGACGACAAAUAAGCCACCUUAAUUGCAACAUGGUUUAUAGGGCUGCAGAGUGAAGCUCAUUACUUAAAAGCAGGAGGGCAUCAGGUAUCCCUGGUGUGGUAGAAAGCCAUGGCCAAGAGUCACCGCUGCUACAAUAGGACAUGAAAUAAUUGUUGACAGAAUAAACUAAAUAAGGGCAGCAAGUGGCAGAGAGGCAAAAUGAUUGGGAAAUGAAAUUCCAUGAAAAAUUAAUGAAAUAGAAAGAUUGUGCUGAAGAUGAAGGGAGGAAACCGGCUUGGUGGUUCAUCAUCCUGCAAUGCCAAAGUAAUAAAUGAGCAUGUUUCAUCUCGGCAAGGUUCAGGGACACAACUCCUUCCCCACAAAGGACUGUGUUGUGCUUUUCGAUGUGUUCCGCUUAUCUCGUGCCCUGACAGCUUGAGAGGAAAGGAAUGGAUUUGGUGGUAAAAUUAAAUUGAUUAAACCUUUAUCCAUCAUCUAAUUUGGUAGCUUUCUUUUUUCUUUUCUUUUUUACUCUUACCUCCAAUUUCUAGUGAUCCGUGUAAUGACAGCAAUUUGAGAUAGCAUCAAGGACAUUAGCUACGAUGACUGAACUUAAAUUUAGAAUAAAAAUAUGGGAUUCAUGAGUCCAUAUCUAAAUAGCAGAUGAUUAGGUUAUAGCAGAGUUGUAACUUCCUAGCAACAGCAUGUAAUUGUGAGGACAAUAGAAUGGUGUAUUUUACUUUCAAAGAGAACAGCAUGUAAUUGUGAGGACAACAGAAUGGUGUAUUUUACUUUCAAAGAGAACAAAAUACUUCAACUUUAUCUCAAAGUAUUAAUUAUGUAAGUAGAAAAAGCACUGGCAUGAAUAUUGACCACGUCUUACAUGAGCAAUAACAUAUAUUGUAAUUUUUACGUUUCUGAACACAUAUAUUGUCAGAUGUUUUGCUUUCUUCAGUGGCAGUACACAGACAUAUAAAGCUAGUGGCAAAGAAUCCAAUUGCUUAAAAUUUUGUAGUUUCUCCUUGGUGACUUGUGUAGGAAAAUUCUCCCCUAGGAUGAGAGCUGUGCUUACAAGUUCCAGUUUAAGUGGUAUUAAUGGAGUUUUUAAAAAUACGUAAAGGCAGCCCUUUCUGAAGUGAUACCCUACAAAUGGAAAACGCUGCACUAAAAAAUUAAAGGUCAGAAGAAAUUACCUUGUGAAAUACCAAAGUUACUGAAGGUCUGUGCAAACUGUAUUCUUAGGUUCCUUUAAUGCCUUAUAGGUUAGCAAGUCUCAAAAAGCAAACAUGAGGAUAUCUGUCUGAUCUCUGUUAAUUGUACUACUUUUGAAUUACUGCUAGCCAAUAUUGUGUAGGUUUUGCGAGUAGUAAUGAACCUGAAUUGAUCCCUGUGUUUACAGCUAACUAUCUCUACAACCUUUCAGGCAGUUUACCGUUUUUUCCGUGUAAGUGAUUAGUUAUCCAGACAAAAAAGGUUGAUAUGCAUCAGUAGAUAGAUCAUUCUCAAGGCAUCUGUGAUGAACUUGACAUCUGCUGUGUAAAACAGCUUGUUUUGCCUGCAAAUUAUGUAAGUUCCAAUAGUAAAAUGAAGCGCUUACCUUUCUGCUGUGGCUGACCUUUGUUCCCCGAUGUAUGAAUUUGAAACGAAGCAGCCAACCCGGAGGAGUUUUAACAGCAUAUUGUGAUAUAUAACGUAUUAAAAAGACUGCUUUGUUAACUGGUGGAAGCAGCUUGUCAACCCAUACUAAUAGGCAACCCUCCCUGAGUCAUAAAAUAGCCAAAUUUAAUGCUUUAACAGAAAGCAUUAACUGGAUGGAGUUACUGUCGUUCAAUCAGUUUCGAAUUUCUUGCUUCUUGCAGCAGAUUUGAAAUAUGAGGAUGUAUUUUUGGACCCCGAAUUAAAAAUACACACUCUGGACUAAGGACUGGACAUUGCCAUGGCUGGUUUAAUGAAAAUCUCUGCUAAGCAAAGCGUGAUAACAAGGGAAGCACGGCAGGGCAGAGUGCAUGAAGAGCAGGACAGCUAAUAUUGAAGAUAUUACCGUGACAUUAAUGAAUGAAGGGUGUAUUUUCACUGAGUAUAUUCUGUUUUGUUCUGGCUGUUCUAGCUCCCAGAUGCGUACUAGAAACGGUGAGGAUUCAGAGACAUAUGGCAAAAGGGAUUAGAGAUGUGUAAAAUUUCAGUGGAAGAAAAUUGAUAAGAUUUAUAUUGUUUACUUUGGAGAUAAACAUAAGAAAAGAUGCAGUAAAAUCAUAUUGAAGAAGAAAGAUUAUAAAGAAGGUAAACAGGCUACUCGAAUUUAUUCCUAAUUUUUUUAUUUACUGAGACAGAGGCCUUUAAGGAAGGAAAAUUCAGCAUGUUUAAUAGGAGUGGAAGGACAUUUUCUGUUGGGACUGUAUGUAGCUGACCUGGGGAAUUUUUUCACUUAAGGUACAGAAAAACAAAUUUGUUGGGAGUUUGAGGUAUUUGAUUAGCUCAGCUGAGACUUGUGCUGCUAAGUUUGAUGCUCAAUUCAGUGACUGUAGGCUUUGGCUUUGGGUAGGAUGCAUUAAGAAGGAUUUCAUUUUUUUAAUAUGAGAUAUGAAUCCCCUUUUUCAGGAAAUUAUCUGACUCCUGACUUGCUUGGAUUAGGUGGAAAGGUGAUUUGUAGGCAGUUUAAUCGCUCCUGCUCCCUGUGAGGCUUUUUGCACUCUCCUGUUUCCCCAGCUGAGGCCGUGGCGUGGCAGCGGUUCAGGAGGUGACUUUCUGCUCGGCUUCGCGGCAGUGGCGAUGCGCGUCCCUCUGCUGUGUGCCUCCCAAAACCAGCAACACAGCUGGCAGGGAGGCAAGCACAUUUCACUGGAAUAUUCCUGACAGCUUUUUUAAGUAGCCUUCCUCUCUGUUGCCACUCAGUGCCCUUCAUGGUAUAUGUAAAAAUAGACCAAAAUAGAGACUAAUUCCUAGUCUCUUACAUUGAUUCUGAGUGAGGUUAGGAUGAUUACAAUAAAAAUUAAUUAACUCAUUUCUUAUUCUCUUGAAAAAAAUAAAAGGGUCAAAUAGAAGGAUGUGAAAACAAAUUUUACAAACACAGGAUGAUUUGUUAAACAGAAACCUCGCAGGUACUGGCAUGACUGCCAGUGCAUCGUCAUCAAGUGAAUAUUGUGUCGUAGGGGACUACCCGUGCAAGCUAAUCUGUGUUUUUGAAAGUGUUUCUGUAGGGUUUGGGUUUGGUCUCAAUGCUAAACCAACCACUGUGUUUGAUUCUGGAGCUGCGCCACUUGUGAGUGCUGUUUCUGCACUACGUGUUGGUGGCAUUUCUUGUUCGAGUCUGGAAUGAGGAACAAGCAAUAAGUAGAUCUCAGCAAAAUACUUCGUGCUAAAGUGUGACUUUUUUUUCCCCCAUUUUUUGUUCCUUGCAAGAGAAAUGGUGCUCAGAAUUAUUAACAGAAUCACCUUUCCCUAAAUGCUAAUGAAACAUCAGCGUGAAGACUCAAAGCUGCUGGGAAGUGUGGGAAGAAAUAAGUAGAAUUUGACAGAUAUUUUAUCUCCAUCUUCCUAGGAAUUUACACACAACCGAUUUUAUGCAAUUGCUUGCUUCUUGCCACUUCUCUGAGACUCUGAAAUGGCUAUUUAUUCUUUAAAUAGCAGGAUUUAACAAAUGUAAAAUGAUGGCUUUCAAGCCAACUGUAAUGUGUUACCUUUGUACGAGGCCUAAUUCUGCUGCCCUUACUCAGAAUAAAAUUGAAAUUGAAACUUCUAAGUAUCAGUCAGGGUGGCAGAACCGUGUUUCUAUGUACAUUUAUGUCUGUGCCUUAAUAUAUAGGUACAUAUAUACAUGUUUGUGUGAAAUACAGUUGUCUAGCUCUGUGAAGGGAAUGACUGUAAUAAACCCCAAGUUAUAUUAGCCAAAGGGUCUUAAAGCCUGUAGACUUCAAAUUAUAU
Cyanistes caeruleus (blue tit) is the source of this 4809-nucleotide non-coding RNA. Lineage: Eukaryota; Metazoa; Chordata; Aves; Passeriformes; Paridae. The record is from RefSeq and is a predicted model, not a curated record.